This is a long non-coding RNA of Carcharodon carcharias (great white shark), 2634 nucleotides long. RefSeq lists it as uncharacterized. The record is from RefSeq and is a predicted model, not a curated record. The transcript has 2 exons. Lineage: Eukaryota; Metazoa; Chordata; Chondrichthyes; Lamniformes; Lamnidae.
UUGACGUUGUUGCUGGAGGCUGCAGAUUCCCGUAAUGAGGGUUCAAAUUCAGAUCGUUCUUUUAGUUGUUAUUUUGCUGCUAACUCUCAGGUUAAGGCAGAUUGCACCCCGAAAGAAAAUAUCAACAAAAUAAGUGAACACUUCCUCAUUUCAACUGACACAUAUACAAACACACUCACAGACAAACACACAGACAGACAUGUUGAAUUAUUAUGGCUGCGUGUUAUUUUUGCUUGAGAUGCCCAGUCUCGUCCAGCCCUUAUAAUCCAAUCUCUUCCAUUUAACACUCCAUUCGGUGUAUUACACCAUCCACAAACUCAAUAAACUUUCAUAGAGCAUUCACCCUAAGGCCAAUGCCCUGCUGAUUCCGAGGACAUUUUAUAUGCCGCACAAUGUUGAACCCCCUCCUGCCCUCCCACUCUGUUCACUCCUUGUAUGAUUAAAUCCCUCAACACAGCCUAAUCCAAUGUCUCGCUCACCCCGAGUCCAUUUAAUAAAUGGCACUGUCGACUCCCACACUCCUGCUAACUCACCAUACGAUUUGAUGCUCUGACUGGUCUAAUCCCAAUUGCCUACGCACUCGCCAAACUCUUUAAUAUCCCAUUCAGUCUAAUCCCACUCUCCCGCUCAAUCCCUUACCAUUAAACGCUCUCCCUAAUAAUCCCAUCGUCCGACACUCUCCUUACAGGUUUUGGCAUCCACCCCGCCGAAUCCCACCCUCCUGUUUCAUCGUCCCAACUUUAACCAAUUCCACCCUUCUGCUCACAACCCAUGCAGUUCAAUACCUGACACAGUUUAAUACUGCGCUCCAGUUUAUCCCAAUGCACUUUACCAUUCCACACUUUAACCCACCGCUGCAGAUGGUGUCCCGCUCCAUCUAGUAUCCCACCAGACUUCACCCCCGUGUCCUGUUCAAACGCUGUGCCCUUAAUAUUCUCUAAAUAUAAUAACGAAUGUGGAAGGAGAGCCAACAAUAUCAAGUAGCGAGGAAGUCCAUCUCGUCUUAUCCUGCCACACACCUCAGUUCCACUGCUCUUUAAGAUGCUAUCUAGUCCCAAUCCAAUCGCCUGAUCACUCUGCAUAUAAUUAAGGAUUGCACCCAGUCUACUCCUUCUCGCCUGAUUUGUCCCCACAUCCUUCAGUAUCCCAACGGGACGUAAAGAAUAGCAAAGAAAAUGUGCGGAACAAGCCGCUUCUUUUAGUUCAUUUUUCCUUUUGUUCCUUCUGUACUAUCUGCAAUCGGCCGAUGCAUUUUUAGAGGCUAUCCCCGCAUUCCCGUAGCUAUUACCGCAGGAUGAUUAUUGUGGAAUUCAAGUGACUCAAGUUGUGCACUUUAACCCGCAAUUUUAUAGGAAUGUCCAGAGAGCGUCACCUGACAUGCCACCCUAACCUGUUAAUAUAUAAUAAGCGCCGGAGUAACGUCGGCAGUGUUACCUGGCGGGCUUGAAGUGUAAGCUGCGACUGUUGUUUUGCAAAGUCCUGAUUCUCAGGCAGAGAUAGAAGGCAGUUUGCUUCCAGGGAGCAGCGAAGAAUCUGUGCGAAGUGCAAACAAGGCAGAAAAAUGAAGCUGUUAUUUGUUGUCGCCAUUCUCUGCACUGGUAUAACUGAAGCUAUCAAAACCAUGAAUCUGACGUCGAAUCAAACUGAUUCCUACUCUACAACUACAGCUCCAAACAGCACAAUGACCCACCUUGCAACCAACACAUCAACCGCCGCCGCAAUGACAUGGAGCAGCCACGGCAGCAAUGAAACAACGACCAUCAGCGGGGGGAGUUCUUUGGCCCUCCCCCAAUCUCACGUCCUCCACUUUCUCACUCUCUCCGCUCUCUUGUUCACGUACUCGAGCUCUCUUCCCCUCCAGCUCUCAGGCGUCUGGUAACAGCGGGAAAAAGUUCAGAUGAAAAGGCCAAUGACGCCGAGCCGAGUCUGUUCCAGUUGCAGAUGGUGGGUGGGAUUGGACAUUCUCGACUCUCCUUGUGUGAUAAAUGCCGGGGGCGUACCCGGUUCUCGCUCCUUUAAUGUGAAUCUGUAACUGGGCUGAAUGCAAGAAUGAUUUGCUUUCGUUGUCGGUCUAUUAAUAUAAUCUGUUAGAAUUAAGGGUGAGGCUCUGGCUUUCUCUGCCUGCUGAUCACUACAAUAUAACCUGCAGAAGUAUUGCUACGCUUUAAAAACAGGCUUGCGUCAGUUUAGAACCCGUGAGGUAAGCAGAGCUGUAUACGGUCACUGUGCCCAUAGACAGGCAAGUGGCUGUUCACGUGAAUGCGCCCAUGAUUGGGCAGGAACCCCACGAUCGAGCAGCGAAAUGUGCGUGAACAGUUCGAAUUGUUAGCCUCAGCGGAGCCAGCAGGGGGCUUGCAAGGAUCGCGAGGACACUUACAGCGUGUUACUGGAACGCGGCGCACGACAGAACAAAGCAAGGACGGACAAUGGAGCAAUAGACAAGAGGCAAGGGAGCUGGGAGCUACGCAAUAACAUCGAAAGCUACUAGAAAGGAAGUGCUGUCUGCCACCGAGAGUCCACGUUGAAAGUAUAUAAGCUAGCAUUUUUCUGUAAAUAGCUGCCUGAAUAACAAAUGUCUAAUUUUGCGGUGCCUUUCUCUUAAUAAAGCUGCUCCAUAGUUGAGUUUUAUCGCGA